RNAcentral lists this long non-coding RNA (9634 nucleotides) under Lactuca sativa (garden lettuce). RNAcentral's name for it is "long non-coding RNA (LSAT_LNC000829)". The record is from RNAcentral. Lineage: Eukaryota; Viridiplantae; Streptophyta; Magnoliopsida; Asterales; Asteraceae.
GAAUCUCGGGAGUAAAAUCGACCUUCGGGACUUGAGCCAAAAAGACCAGAGCUUCGGGUUUGAACGGACACGGAAAACGAGGCAAAGUUGAGAGAGAGAGAAGAGAAAUGAACCCUUUCUUUGGAAACCCUCGCAUCCUAUUUAUAGUAAGGCUGGUCUGCCUCGGUACGCGGGGCGUACGCUCGUACGCAGCGCGUACGCGUACGUCAUGCAUGACCGAAGCCUCGACUGCCUCGGUUCGGAUGGGACGGGUUGCUGGGUACGCGGGUCGGAUGGGACGCCGGGUCGGAUGGGACGUCGGGUCGGACGGGUCGGGGCUUCGGACGGGUCGGAUGGGUCGGUUUCUUCGGAUAGCGCGACGUGGACGAUCAGAGGCCAAUCCUCUCGGUUACGCGGGGCGUACAGGGGUACGCAGCGCGUACCUCGGAGGAGGAUGCUGACUCCCCUUCGGAUAAUAUCCGAAUUUUGAAUUAAAUAAAUAAUUAAUUUAUUUAAUAAACUUCAAAAAUUCAUAUCUUCUUCAUACGAACUCCGUUUUCGAUGGUCUUUAUAUCCUCGCGUAGGUGAGACUACGCUCUACAACUUUCGUUUAGACUCCGUCGGCAAAUUCCAAAAUUAUAUUUUUAUUAUUUAUUAAAAACCCAUCGUGUUUAAGGAAUUUCUUUGAAAAUUCAUAACUUCUUUAUCUGAUGUCGGUUUUUGCCAGACUUUUUACCGCUGGAAUACCAUUGUCGAGACCUUCGAUUCUCGUUUAGGUCAUUCCGGCCAAAAGUCGCUCGAUCUCCGAUUCGAGUUUUUAGCUGUCUGUUGCUAAGCCGAACUUGGAAAAAUCAUAACUUCGCUAUAUGAAGUCGGAUUUGGGCGUUCUUUUCACGUACGAUCAUGGUUCAAAGACAUUUAAUCAUAGAAGGAAAUUAAGUAGAACUUAUUUAUACAUUUUAUUAUGAAAGUAACUUUUUAUUAUUCAGAAGUGGUUACAAUACUUGACCCAUUUUGGUCGUUACAAAGAGUUGAAAUAUCGGGUUGUCACAUCAUCCCCCCGUUAGAGAGAAUUUCGUCCCGAAAUUUAAAGUAGUAAAGAUACUAGUGAACAUGAAAGAGAUGAGGGUACUUUUGUUUCAUCUGAUCUUCGCGUUCCCAUGUGAAUUCGGGUCCCCGCUUGGCGUUCCAGCGAACCUUCACGAUGGGUAUGCGACUUUGUUUUGUUUGUUUGACCUCUCGGUCCAUGAUUUCUACUGGUUCUUCCACAAAGUUGAGGCUCUCGUUGAUCUCGAUCUCGUCGAGUGGAAUAACAAGAGUCUCGUCGGACAGACACUUUUUCAAGUUUGAGACGUGGAAGGUUGGAUGGAUGUUACUAAGUUCGCGCGGUAGGUUAAGCUUGUAAGCCACAGGGCCGAUUCUGGCAAGAAUCUCGAAAGGCCCUAUGUAUCUUGGAUUUAGUUUCCCACGCUUUCCAAAUCGUAUUAAACCCUUCCACGGUGAGACCUUUAAUAAGACGUGGUCUCCUACCUGGAAUUCCAAAGGUUUCCUCCUUUGGUCAGCGUAGCUUUUCUGUCGGUCUCUUGAGGCUUUCAAUCGUUCACGAAUCUGAACGAUCUUCUCUGUUGUUUCACGUAUGAUCUCCGGACCGGUGAGAGUGCUUUCAGGAACUCUUCCUCUAGCUAACUGGGUAUCGCCAACUUCAGUCCAGCACAGAGGGGAUCUGCACUUUCGACCAUAGAGGGCUUCAAACGGAGCAGCCUUUAUGCUUGUAUGAUAACUAUUGUUGUAUGAAAAUUCGACAAGGGGUAAAUGAAUAUCCCAUGCCUUUCCAAAGUCAAUCACGCAGGCUCUCAGCAUGUCUUCUAAAGUUUGUAUUGUUCUCUCACUUUGUCCGUCUGUCUGUGGGUGGUAGGCUGUACUCAUGUCUAGCCUAGUUCCCAGGGAACUUUGUAGUGACUGCCAGAAUCUUGAAGUGAAUCUACUAUCUCGAUCGGAGAUAAUGGAUAUCGGAACACCAUGCAGUCGCACUACUUCCCUUAAGUAAGUUCUUGUAAGCUUCUCCAUUUUGUCAGUCUCCUUGAUGGGUAGGAAAUGUGCGGAUUUGGUCAAUCUGUCGACAAUGACCCAUAUGGUAUCGAGUCCACUUGUCGUCUUGGGUAACUUGGUUAUGAAGUCCAUAGUAAUCCGCUCCCAUUUCCAUUCCGGUAUCUCUGGUUGUUGUAGUAGUCCUGACGGUUUCUGAUACUCGACCUUAACCUUAGCGCAAGUAAGACAUUUACUCACGAAGGUAGCAAUUUCUGCUUUCAUGUUAGGCCACCAGUACAGUUUCUUAAGAUCCAGAUACAUUUUAUCUGAACCCGGGUGAACGGAAUAUCUUGAGUUGUGAGCCUCGGUCAUGACUACGUUUCUGAAACCACCAUGAUUUGGGGUCCAGAUUCGGUCCAUGAGAUAGUAGGCUCCGCCACCCUUGACUUCUAAAUUCUUCUCCAUUCCUCGCAGGGAUUCACCCGCCACAUUUUCAGGUUGCAAAGCUUCCAUUUGUGCUUCCUUAAUUUGUGUGGAUAAGUGGGAAUGGAUAGUCAUGGUCAGAGAUUUGACCCUCCGACCAGUGUAUUCCUUUCGACUGAGGGCGUCGGCUACUACGUUGGCCUUGCCAGGAUGAUAACGAAUUUCGCAUUCGUAGUCAUUCAGUAACUCAACCCAUCGUCGUUGUCGCAUGUUGAGUUCCUUCUGAUCGAAAAUGUGUUGAAGGCUCUUGUGAUCGGUGAAUAUAGUACUCUUUGUUCCGUAUAAGUAGUGCCUCCAGAUCUUCAGAGCAAAUACCACUGCUCCUAACUCGAGGUCGUGUGUCGUAUAGUUCACUUCGUGUGUCUUAAGCUGUCGGGAGGCAUAAGCGAUAACCUUCCCUCUCUGCAUAAGAACACAACCAAGUCCUUGAUUUGAAGCAUCGCAAUACACUACGAAGUCUUCUAUCCCUUCGGGGAGGGAUAGUAUCGGUGCGGUGCACAAGGCCUGCUUUAGUGUCUGGAAUGCCUUCUCUUGUUUCGCUUCCCAGUCAAAGGCCACACCUUUCUGGGUUAAUGAAGUAAGAGGUUUCGCAAUGCUCGAAAAGUUCUUUAUGAAUCUGCGAUAGUAGCCAGCUAGACCUAGAAAUUGACGAAUUUCUGUAGGUGUCUUUGGUGCCGACCAGUUCUCAAUAGCCUUAAUUUUGGAGGGGUCCACGUGUAUACCUUUCUCGCUAACAACGUGACCUAAAAAUUCGACUCUUCGAAUCCAAAAUUCGCAUUUAGAGAACUUCGCAUAGAGUUUCUCCGUUCGCAGUGUUUCUAGGACUUUUCGUAGGUGUUGACUAUGCUCUUCCUCACUUCGAGAGUAGAUAAGUAUAUCAUCGAUAAAGACGAUGACGAACUGAUCCAAGUAAGGGCGGCAUACCCUAUUCAUUAGGUCCAUAAAUACUGCUGGUGCAUUGGUUAAUCCGAACGGCAUCACCACGAAUUCGUAGUGUCCAUAACGAGUUCGGAAGGCUGUCUUUGGAAUGUCCCCCUCUAGAACUCGUAAUUGGUGAUAUCCGGAUCGCAGGUCUAUUUUGGAGAAGUAGUUCGCCCCUUGAAGUUGAUCGAAUAGGUCGUCGAUACGGGGUAGAGGAUAGCGGUUCUUGACAGUAAGUUUGUUCAGCUCUCUGUAGUCGAUGCACAUACGGAACGAUCCGUCUUUCUUCUUUACAAACAAGACCGGUGCUCCCCAAGGUGAGAAACUUGGUCUUAUGAAUCCUUUGUGAAGGAGUUCAUUAAGUUGACUGGAAAGUUCCUGCAUCUCUGCUGGUGCAAGACGAUAAGGCGACUUCGCUACUGGGGUAGCUCCUGGAAUUAAGUCGAUUCUGAACUCGACUUGGCGUUGCGGUGGUAAUCCUGGUAGUUCUUCUGGAAAGAUAUCGGGAAAGUCGCGUACUACCGAGAUGCUCUUGAUGUCCUUCAGUUCUUGACUUGUAUCGACGAUGUGCGCUAGGAAUGCUCGACAAUCCUUCCGCAAGCACUUUCGAGCUUGGAUGCACGAAAUGAUGCGAAGGUUUGCACUAGAUUUGUCGCCGUAGAUAACUAAUGUUUCGUUGUUAGGGAGGUUAAGACGGACUGCUUUCUCAAAGCACAUGAUGUCGGCGCGAAGAAGACUCAACCAAUCCAUGCCGACUAUGACGUCGAAACUUUUAAUUUGAACCGGCAUGAGAUUGAUUGGGAAAGAAUGGCCGUCUAAUGUUAACGUACAGCCCAUGUAUAUGCAAUUUGUGUUUUCGGUUUUUCCAUUGGCCAUCUCUACAGUGAAUGAUUUUUCUAACUUGCUAGGUUUAGGUUUAAGUAAAUGAAUAAAGUUUUGACUCACGAAGCUUCUCUCCGCUCCACUAUCGAAUAAUAUGCAUGCGUAUGAAUUAUCGAGAAGGAACGUACCAGCAACUAUAGUUGGGUCAGCUACAGCUUCGUCGUGGCCUAUUGCCAAAACUCGUCCCACACCUCCGGUGCCUGCUGCCUUAGGACAGUUUCUCUUGUAGUGGCCCACCUCGCCACAACCGUAGCAAGCCUGCCCUACACCCGCACCGGGAACUUGAGUGAUCGGCUUUGCGGGUUCCUUGCAGAAACGGGCUGUGUGUCCUUUCCUGCUGCAGUUGGCGCACUGCAUAUCUCGACAAGGUCCAUGGUGGUGGUAAUUGCAUUUGGUGCAUUUUGGGAGGUUACCUAUAUAAGGCUUUGUUGGGUAGGUAUUUGUAGGGGCUGUAGCAGGUACAAUGGCAGCAUUUACUGACACCAGUUGUUUCUUUGCGGAUUCUUGGGAAGACCCACCCUUCCCUUUAAUCCACGCUCUCUUCCUGCCAUUGUUGUUGUUGUUGUUGUUGUUGUUGUUGUUGUUGUUUCCUUUCUGUGGUGCUGGUGCAGAAGUGGUUGAGUUCUGAUGACCUCCGUAGUCGAUCAGAGAUUGUGCCAGUUCCUUAGCACUUUCAAAGGUGUCAGGUUUAGAAGCUAACACGCUUGAUCGCAUUUGGGGCGUCAGUCCCCAGAUGUACCUUUCUAUCUUCUUGCUCUCGGGAGCAAUCAUAUCUGGACAAAGGAUUGCCAGUUCGCAGAAUCUGUUGGUAUAAGUAGCGAUGUCGGUACCCACCAUUCCGAGAGUCCAUAGCUCGUGUUCAAGCUUUUGAAUUUCUCCCCGUGGGCAGUAUUCUCUCAUCAUCAUGGCCUUCAAGCUCUCCCAGCUUAUGGAGUUUGCCACGAUUAGGGUAAGUACUUUAACGUGGCCAUUCCACCAAGUUAAAGCUUUAUCGAGAAGGGUGAAAGUUGCAAAUUUGACCUUGCUGUGCUCGGGGCAGGAGCAGAUUUCAAAGACUGCCUCCGUCCUUUCAAUCCACUGCCUCAGGGCCAUCACACCACCAGUACCAUAAAACAUCCGGGGCUUGGCAUUAGUGAAGUCCUUAUAGGUGCAUUCUCGAGGUGGUCCAUGACUCUCGCCAUGGUUGGAUAGGUGUGUGCCAGAUCCCGAGCCAUUAGUACUCGAGUUAUUGAUCUGUGACAUGGCAGCUGCCACCGCUGCGGUGACUGCUGCUUGAAACAUUACAGCAUCAAAUUGGGGUGGUGGAGGUGGUGGUGGUAUAGGUGCUUCCUCACCGUUGUUUCGCCUUGGAUUCCUACGCGGAGGCAUCCUUCAACUAUAGAUUGAAAAGACAAGGAUAAGAAUUUCAUAGAAUGGAAAAUGUAUGUGUCUCAUGAACUAAAUCGCUAUAGUUCAACAACAGAUGAUAGUAUGAGUCUUAAAAUAGAAGAAUGAAAGUUAUUUGUAAGACUGAAGGUAUGAAACAAGUAUUUGGGUUCACAAAGACCAUUCAAGGUUCGAACGAAAUACUCAACAUAGUAGUAAUAGUGCCACUUAUAUUAAUAUAAAAGUUGUUACAACGAUCAUGAAAAUUUGACCCCUAUAAGGGUCUCCGAUUACAAAGUUCGAGAAAUUUAAAGACUUUUAGCCGAGGUCCUAAGCUAUAACAAAAUUUGAGUCCUUGACAAGCACUACUUGCGUCGAAGGUUGCGCUUGGAGCUUGACUCCGUAUCUGAUUGCUUUGACUCCAUUAGACGCCUAUCGAAAGCGGCUUGUUGUUCCCUUAGUUCGGCGAGGGCUGCAAUCAUUUGCGCUUGAAACGCUUCGGUUUGGAAUUGAGCGUUGUCUUGCAUCUUGUCCAGCCUACGGAUGUCAGAAGUGUGAACCUGCACUUCCACGUUGAUAUCCCGGAGUCGACUAGCUUGUACUCCAGACUGAUAGGACUGAUUGGCUAACUUACCCACCAUUACCGGGAGUGCUCGAUCAGCCGAACCUCCGCCGCGGACAUCAUAGAAGUCCCGGCACAUGCCGUAGGGAGGGCGUAGGUUUUGCUGUUGGCUCCAAUGGUGGAGGUGACUUCCCCAGACGGGAGUCGGUCCUUGAAAGUUCCUUACGAAGACGGGAGGUUGAAUGGGUGGUGGAUCGAUAACUUCCGGCUCUGAGUCGGUACCGGAGUCAUCACCCACUUCUAUGGGUUCCUCGUCCUCUUCGGGAUCAUCUUCGAUCCAUCCUCCGUUGCCUUGGUUGGGAAAGUAGGGGUCGCCAGGGUGGUGAAAUCCAGCCAUUUGACUGUACGAGAAAUAGGGUUAUAAGAAUUGAAUAAAGUCGGAACAUGUAAAACAUGUAAGUUAAACUAGUUUAGAUAGCAAAUACUCCUAUAGUAUUUAAAUUCUUGUGUUUGAUUCUUGUAAUGGUUUGGUAAGUUUUGACUUGUUGCUUACUACGAUCAUUCCUCGAUAUACGUUGGUCCAAUCUUGGGCAAAUAUAGUUGAUCACGCUAUAUUUGUCCAAAAUCUGAUUACAUAUAUCGAGUCUCAAUCGUAGUGUCAACUUGUCUAAAUACUUGUAUAGUUGUAUAACAUGAAAAUAGUUUGUGGUAUGCAUGUAAUUGUACUUAAAUGAACUAUCAAUUUAAGUUGAACGAAAUGCUGCUUAAGUGUAAAAAGAAAAUUUGUUUUGUCAGAGAGUAUUAGUCCCUUAAGCAUUUAUAGUUUGUAUAUCUUAUGUGGUUCGAUAUACUUAGUUCACUAUAAACAUUGCUCUGAUACCAAUCUGUCACACCCCCAAACCUGAACGGCGGAAACGUUCGGGGGCGGAUGACUUCAUGUGGUAACGUAACAAAUGAAUACAUAGUAAAGAAAGCAAUACAACCAUCAUAUAUAUAAUUGAAAGUUUACAUUUGUCAAAAGUUACAUGUUCAAAACUCAAUUACAAUAUGAUGUCAAAAAUACGAGAUUAAACUGGCGCCGCAGCAUCCCUUCAUCAAAAGCGUAAUGAAUACCUGAAAUUACUGAUUUCCUGGGACAUACAAGUAAUUUUGAAAGAGUAGAUCAGCAUUUAAGCUGGUGAGUUUCAUAAGUAUUUAAAUGACAAUGUUUGAAUGAAAUGAAAUGUUUUGUCUUUGUUUGUUUGUGUUUAGAAAAUCCUAUAUUUUCUACUAGUAUAAUAGUAGCCUUCACUCAAGACCAAUGUUUGUUUCUAAAAUGUAUGUAAGUGUAAAAUAACCAAUGAGUUUGAAAACCUUGUAAAUCAAUGCAUUUUUAAUACCCCUUGUGAGUUUUAUAACCAUACUAUUGACUCGGAAUGCCUAUACACAACGUUCUUCAGGCGUUGGAAUGUUAUGACGUUUGUCACCCCAAACGGUGGACUGCAGCUAACAGUCAGGGCGCGGGUUGUCAAGCCCGUAUAGAUCUAUACACAAACACCAUGCUCCCCCUCCAAGGGAUUCUGGUAUAUAAUACAGGACUUGAAAUGUGUACUCGAACGUACAUGAAGUUAGUGUCUCACAAAACCGUGGUAUAAAAACAGAUCUACUUGUUAAAAUGUUACGUUUGUUCUUGUAUACGAAAGUAAACUUCUUGAAAUUCAUGUUUCUAGUACAUAAGAGUUAGAAAUUUGUUCGUAAAACUAUACCUAUUAUAGUUUUCUAAAAGUGUGUCUUGUUUGUUUAGAAAUACCUAGAAAAGGAAUCACUUGUUUAUGAAAGCAUAGAUUUUUGGUGUAGAGUCCAAGAUAGACAAGAAUAAUCUAAGAAAAGUUUAGUUUAUACAUGCAUUACAACAAAUUUAUAUUUCAAAAGAUAGAAUGCUAUUUUAACAUAUGUUAUAUAUAUGAAAGUUCCUUAAAGGUUUAUAAAUCGCAUGUGAUUUGGAUAUAUAACAGCAUAUAAAAGAGUUUCUUUAUGUAACACACGAUAAUACUCGUGUGUUUUACUUGUAAUCCCCCCCUUGAAAGCAUAUAAAAGAAUUUAUAAAAUAUUUAAAAGGUAAAUUAAGGGGUAUGAACUCACUUGAAAGUUUGAAGAUAGCGAGAUGGAAAACCGGGCAGAGUUUCGUCUCGGGAAACGGAUUUUCCUCGGGAUUCUCGGGAAUCUCGGGAGUAAAAUCGACCCUCGGGACUUGAGCAAAAAGACCAGAGCUUCGGGUUUGAACGGGCACGGAAAACGAGGCAAGAUUGUGAGAGAGAGGAGAGAAAUGAGCCCUUUUCUCGGAAGCCCUCGCAUCCUAUUUUUAGGAAGGCUGAACUGCCUCGGUACGCGGGGCGUACGCUCGUACACAGCGCGUACGUGUACGUCAUGCAUGACCGAAGCCUCGACUGCCUCGGCUUCGGAUGGGACGGGUUGCUGGGUACUCGGGUCGGAUGGGACGACGGGUCGGACGGGACNGACGGGUCGGACGGGUCGGACGCCUCGGAUAGGGCGACGUGGACGAUCAGAGGCCAAGUCUCUCGGGUACGCAGGGCGUACAGGGGUACGCAGCGCGUACCUCGGAUGAGGACGCUGACUCCUCUUCGGAUAAGGUCCGAUUUUCAAUUAAAUAAAUAUAUAAUUUAUUUAAUAAACUUCAAAAAUUCAUAUCUUCUUCAUACGAACUCCGUUUUCGAUGGUCUUUAUAUCCACGCGUAGGUGAGACUACGCUCUACAACUUUCGUUUAGACUCCGUCGGCAAAUUCCAAAAUUAUUUUUUUAUUAUUUAUUUUAAACUCAUCGUGUUUAAGGAAUUUCUUUGAAAAUUCAUAACUUCUUUAUCUGAUGUUGGUUUUUGCCAGACUUUUUACCGCUGGAAUACCAUUGUCGAGACCUUCGAUUCUCGUUUAGGUCAUUCCGGCCAAAAGUCGCUCGAUCUCCGAUUCGAGUUUUUAGGUGUCUGUUGCUAAGCCGAAUUUGGAAAAAUCAUAACUUCGCUAUAUGAAGUCGGAUUUGGGCGUUCUUUUCACGUACGAUCAUGGUUCAAAGACAUUUAAACAUAGAAGGAAAUUAAAUAGAACUAUUUGUACAUUUUAUUACUCAAAAGUGGUUACAAUACUUGACCCUUUUUGGUCAUUACAAAGAGUUGAAAUAUCGGGUUGUCACACAUAUAAAGAAGCUUGUUUCUCUUUUUUUAGAACUAGUCAAAACACCAGAGAAAGUAUCUCCAAUAAUUUGAGUUUGUGGAUGAUCUUUUGUCCAUUUUGUCAAAGGUGGAUAUUUCAGAUGAAUUCAGGAUUAAUUUCAACAUAGACUACUUCAACUUUCAGUUUCUCAUCAAUAUCUUCUUGUAAAAUGCUCUCAUCCUAGAUAUUUGCAUUCGAAGUUAAAUUAUGC